UACGUAGGGUGCAAGCGUUGUCCGGAAUUCUUGGGCGUAAAGAGCUCGUAGGCGGUCUGUCGCGUCGGAUGUGAAAAUCCAGGGCUCAACCCUGGACCUGCAUUCGAUACGGGCAGACUAGAGUUCGGCAGGGGAGACUGGAAUUCCUGGUGUAGCGGUGAAAUGCGUAGAUAUCAGGAGGAAUACCGAUGGCGAAGGCAGGUCUCUGGGCUGACACUGACGCUCAUGCACGAAAGCGUGGGGAGCAAACAGG
This 253-nucleotide ribosomal RNA is filed under the name uncultured bacterium. RNAcentral's name for it is "partial 16S ribosomal RNA". It matches the Rfam family "Bacterial small subunit ribosomal RNA", at positions 524 to 776 of the family's 1533-position model. The record is from RNAcentral.